Molecule: microRNA precursor, 126 nt
Filed under: Podarcis lilfordi (Lilford's wall lizard)
Lineage: Eukaryota; Metazoa; Chordata; Lepidosauria; Squamata; Lacertidae
Source: RNAcentral
AUAUAUAUAUAUAUACACACACACACACACACACACACACACACUGUAUAUCCGUCCCACGUUUCCUCUAGGGAUAGUGUGUGUGUGUGUGUGUGUGUGUGUGUGUGUGUGUAUAUAUAUAUAUAU